This 428-nucleotide ribosomal RNA is filed under the name uncultured bacterium. RNAcentral describes it as "bacterial SSU rRNA". It matches the Rfam family "Bacterial small subunit ribosomal RNA", at positions 355 to 775 of the family's 1533-position model. The record is from RNAcentral.
UGGGGAAUCUUGCGCAAUGCGCGAAAGCGUGACGCAGCAACGCCGCGUGGGGGAAGACGGCUUUCGGGUUGUAAACCCCUUUCAGUUGGGACGAAGCCUUGUCCGUUAAUAGCGGUGCGAGGUGACGGUACCUUCACAAGAAGCUCCGGCUAACUACGUGCCAGCAGCCGCGGUAAUACGUAGGGAGCAAGCGUUGUCCGGAAUCAUUGGGCGUAAAGAGCGUGUAGGCGGUUCGGUAAGUCCGCUGUGAAAGUCAAGGGCUCAACCCUUGAAUGCCGGUGGAUACUGCCGAACUAGAGUCCGGAAGAGGCGAGUGGAAUUCCUGGUGUAGCGGUGAAAUGCGCAGAUAUCAGGAGGAACACCGAUGGCGAAGGCAGCUCGCUGGGACGGUACUGACGCUGAGACGCGAAAGCGUGGGGAGCAAACAG